Molecule: long non-coding RNA, 7457 nt
Filed under: Malus domestica (apple)
Lineage: Eukaryota; Viridiplantae; Streptophyta; Magnoliopsida; Rosales; Rosaceae
Description: long non-coding RNA (MDOM_LNC016294)
Source: RNAcentral
GUGACGUCGAGUAGAUCACUGUGGUAUAUUCAUAUACCUAAAUUGAACACCGUAUGAGAAAGUUAUUAAGGAUUGUUGGUUAGGUGUUCAAAUAACGUUUUAUAGUUUUCACAUUUAGGUGAAAAUGUGAAUUGAUGAUCCGACCGUUGGAUCAUCACCAAACCUUGAUACGUUGUAAUACGUAAUAUUUGAGGAUUAUUGGAACUUACAGAUUGGGAAUCCGAUUUGCGGAUCUUCCGGAAUUGGAAUUGUAAGUCCAUAAUAUAAAAUGUUAACCGUCACUUAGUUUUGGAAAUUGACGGAGAUCCGACCGUUGGAUGGUAAUGAAAUUUUAGGAUGUUAUCCUAGAGAUAUAUUGUGGACCUCUGGAAGUUAUGGAUUUAAAAUCUGAGGGGUGGAUCUUCCGGAUCAAUCUACGUAGUGACGUAUUUUAUAUAAGUUAUAUAUUCUAUCGAUAUGAAUUCUGAGGUUGGAUUUGAUUACUAUUCUAGGCGGCGAUCGUCGUGACGCCUUGUUGUGAGGUGCUAGGGAGUUGUUGGACGAACUCCAGGUGAGUGGGCAGUUUUGUUUUCCGUAUAUAUAUAUAUACUUAACGUUUUCCCAGAAAUUGAAAAUGCAUGAAAUUAUGUUUAAAAUGAAAUGCAUAUGAGUUAUGUGGAAAAACGGGAAGUGAAAUACCAUGCAUAGAAUUGAUAUGAAAAGUAUAUAGAAAUGUGAGUUGAAAUGCCAUGCAUGAAUUAAUAUAUAUGAUGCAUAUGUAUGAAUUGGUGCGGUGGACGCACAAGUAAGAAUUGAUUUAUGAUGCAUAUGUAUGAAUUGGUGCGGUGGACGCACAGGUAAGAAUUGAUUUAUGAUGCAUAUGUAUGAAUUGGUGCGGUGGACGCACAGGUAAGAAUUGAUUUAUGAUGCAUAUGUAUGAAAUGGUGCGGUGGACGCACAGAUGAGUAUUUAAUUACUGUUAUGAUGAUGAUGAUGAUAUAUAUAUUGAGCUCAAAUCCUGCACCAUGGUUUAGUGCUUAUAUAGUAUUCACCGCAUCGCACGCUCGCCUUGGAUCCAAGUAGAUGCUAGUCGUACAGUCCACGCGGAGUGGGUACGACAGACCAGUCGCGAGAGUGUUAGUGAGAUUCCGACUGGUGGGUGACCUUAGAUUAUGUGCACAGAUGAUUUAUGAGAAGCACUAGAGCGUAACUUGCGUUGCAGAAGGCCGGACGGGUCACAGAGGUGACUCCGGUAGAGUGAUAAUGAUAGAUUUUGAGCUCUAGGUUCAACCGUACAGGGCUAUUAGAGGGCCUACGGUUGAUUACUUUCUUGCACCUGAUAUGAUUAUGUUGAUGCAUUCAUACCUUAUUACUGUUGAGAUGAUGUGGCAUGGCAUAAUUAAUAUGAGAAAUGUUGAGAUGAUGUGGCAUGGCAUAACUGAUAUGAAAAAUGUUGAAAAAGUGAAAUGAAGUAUUGAGAAUAUAUAUGUAUAUUUAUAUUUUACAUUUCUGGGAAAGUAUACAGGUUUUACGGAGAGGGGUUACAACGUUAUGAGAAAUGUUUGGAUUUGGAAAAGAAUUGUUUUACUGACCCACUCAAUUUUGGUUUUGCGCCCCUCCAGGUUCAGGAAUCACAAAGGUGUGGUGACUACGAGGAAUACGGCGGGGUUCUGACAGAUUGACAAAAUUAGGACUCACCUUCGGGUGUAUCAACUUAUAAAUUGUAUCUUAAAGCUUCCGUACUGUGCAAAUGGUUACGUCACUCUCACGUGACGGCCAGCAUGCCCUCAUUCGGGACGGGGUGUGUCAGUUGGUAUCAGAGCAUGGUUGCAAUCUUGGACAUCUUGAGAAGUUUCUAGUGAAUUCUGUCAGAACUACACCGCCUCGUAGCACACCACGUAGUUAGAGGAAUUUAGUCUCCCUAAUAUAGCGGUUUUGGGGGGAAACUAUUACUAUGGUGAUUCAGUCUAUUGUCUAAAGGGGCAUUUUAAGAUGGGUUAUGAGUUGAAUUUGAAUCACUUAAGAGAAAUGAUGAACCUGAGGGAGCGAAGUAACGGUUUAACCAUUUGGAAAAGAUGUUUCGGAUUAUGCAAGUCAAAGGAAUCUUCCUUCUGACAAGGGGUCGAGAUGACUACCUGGUUUGAGUAUGAACGUGUAUCUUGAUGGAAGCAGGAGUAUUAAUUGUUGUCACCAGAGGAAUCAGUCGAUUUAAAAUUGUUUAAGGACUUGUUUAAGGAAAAGUUUAUCCCUCCGGCAUUUAUCGAUGGUAGUAAACAAGAGUUUACAAAUAUGAGACAAGGAAGGUGAUGAUCGAGGGAUAUUAUAGAAAGUUUUCAGACUUGCCUCGUUCCAUCCAGAUAUUGUUGUUAAUUUGGUGGAGGUGUUAUGUUGUUUUAAGCUGGGUGGCAAAAAGGGAAGUGGUAUUUUGGGUGACCACUAUCCAUUAUACUUCUUACCAGGAAUAUACGAGAUGCUGUUGAGUCUUGAGGACUCUGAGAACAUGAGCAACGAGAAUAAAGAAGAAUAAGAAAUGAAUGGGAAUUAAAAGAAGACGAUAAAGUUAAUGAUUCGUCAUAUCAAGGAGAUAGAAAGAUUCAGAGCUUCGAAAGAAGUGAAGCUAGAGUUAAUUCUUCCAGCUGAGGUUUUAAUGUCGCUGGUCAGAGUAAAAGUGAUGGAUAUACUGGUAAUCCCAGAUAUUUGAGACAAGGUGUCUCGAGUAAAGGAAAUGUACCUUGUGCAGCAGGUACAAAAUUAACACUUUGGGAAGUGUGAAAUUAAUGAAUGUGUUUAUGUGAACAGAGGGGACACAGAAUUGUGAAUCGUCCCUAGAAUCAGUUGUACUCAAUAAUUUUCCAUGAUAUCAUAGUGUCGAUUCAGAAGAGUUAUAAACUUAGUAGUUUGGUCGGAUUGACUGUGAGUACAGAGAGAUUUGAUGAGUUAUAUGUUCAGCCGUACAGACCAUGAGAAGUGGAUUCGAUUGACACAUGAGAAAUUGGUGAGUUAUAGGCUCGGCCGUACCGACCACGCGGAGUGGAUCCGGCUGACGUAUUAUUGAGAUAAGAGUUGAAUCAACCGUAUUGGUCAUUCUAGUUGACUUCGGCUGAUAUAUUUCUUAUUAUGUAUGUUAUUACCUAGAGAGUAGUAAAUAAAUGUAGUUGAGACGAGUGUAUGUAUUUUGCCUUGAGUAACAAAAUAGUAAUGUUAUAUCUUUGAGAGUGGUUGCCUACUUAUCGAGACAACGAUGAUUUAUCAGUAUUGCGGGCUGCAGACCGUAAUAUUAAUAACUCAUUCGUGGAUUCGUUAAGCAAGCAAACCGGUAGGUUAUUUUAUGUUAGUGUUGUACUUAUUUAGAAUGCUUAAUAAUAAUAGAAUAUAUAUUGUAUCAGUUAAUUAUGUUCCAUUAGAUUGGUUGGUUAUAAUUGUGACAAGACGGAAUGUUACGGGAAACCAGUACUUUCCAUCGAUCUGGAUGACCAGAGAUUACUUUUGUAAGUAUGCAAAGUGGAUUGAGUCAGGCCGUUAUUUAUGCUGUGAGAGCAAAGAGAUUGUUUUCGAAAGGCUGUCAAAAAUACUUAGCUCAUGUGGUGCUAAAUGAUGUUGUUUGGAGUAGUGUGAAUAAUGUCGAAAGAGUUAGACUUUUCUUGAUGUCUUCCUUGAAAGUAUACCUGGAUUGCCUUCAGGCAGAGAUGAGGUUCAUUAUUGAUUUGUUGCCAGGUAUAAAUUUAUAUUGGAGAUUGGUUCAGGAUGAGUUAAGGGAAUUGGAAAUUCAGUUGAAAGAAUUGGUUGAUAAAAGUUUCAUUCAACCUAGUACAACACUUUUGAGGAGCCCCAGUUUGUUGGUGAGAAAGAAAAUGGACUUAGAGAUUGUUCAUUGAUUAUAGACAAUGAAGUCGGGUAACGAUUAAGAACCGUUAUCUAUGGUGAUGUACUGAUGUUUAUUUAACCAGCUCAGAAGUAAUUGCGAAGAUUCAAAGAUUGAAUUGAGAUCUGGUUACUACCAAUUGAAUAUUAUAAGUGACGUUGAUCAUAAGAUGGUUUCUGGACUUGUUAUGAUCCUUAUAAAGUUUGGUGAUGCUAUGUGGAUACUCAUGCGGUUUUAUGAGUUGAUGGAUGAAGUAUUCCAAUAAUGCCUUGAUAAUUGAUAUCAUUUUCAUUGAAGAUAUUCUGGCAUAUUCUGAGCCAGAGCAGAGCAUGUAAACGUAUUAAGUCGGUAGAACAAAGAUUGGAAGAAUGUCGAUUGUAUGCUAAGUUUAGCAAAUGCGAAUGUUGGAUGAAUCAAGCAGCAUUUCUGGGAUAUGUUAUAUAUUCUUAAGGUAUUCAAGUGAAUCCUUAAAAGGUAACAGAAAUUAAAAUUUGGAACAACCACGAGUCGUAAUUGAGAUUUGGAAUUUCUUAGCUUACCAGGCUAUCUUGGAUGGUUGUGAAAGAUUUUUUCAGUCAUUGCUUUGUCAUUGACGAGACUGUUGAGAAAAGAGGUUAGGUAUGAGUGGGAAGGAAUUGUAAGCAAAGGAUUCAACAACUGAAGUAUUUCCACACUCAUGCACGUAUUUUGGUAUUCCCAGAGAAUAGUGGUAAUCAUAAAUUUUUAGUGAUGUUUCUUGAAUGGUAUUGGAGGCAUGUUGAUGCAAAUGUUAGGGUGAUUGCAUACGUUUCACGAUAAAUGGAAUCUCAUAAGAUGAAUUACCCUACUGGUGAUUUGGAAGUCACGAUUACCAUUCUUGCUGUGAAGUUAUGGAGACAUUAUAUUUUAGUGGGAAUGCAAGAUUUUUUUUUUUACGAAUCCAAAAAGUCUUCAAUAUCCAUUACUUGGAAGGAUUUUGAUAUGAGGCAGCGAAAGUGAAUUGUAUUGCUUAAUGAACAUGAUUGUACGAUCAGGGUGAUCGUAAAGUUUGUUCUAGCUGAAGCACUUGGUGAGAAGACUACAGUAAGAUUAAUAUCUGGCAUGUUUGCCAAGAGUAUCAUCUUGUGGAUUGAAAACCAACGGAAGAAAAAUUAAGGAUGGAAGAUCGAGAAGAAGUUAUACUUGUUAAGUAACAAGUUAGUACAUUUACUCCAGUGUUGAGUAACAACCUUUCCCAGACAGUGCAACACUACUUAUUUGUUUUAUGGAAAAGAGAAUUGGAUUACGGAACUGCUAAGUUUCUUAAGUAUGUUGGUUGUGCAGUUUCCGAAGUAACGCCAUAAGGACCAUGAAAUGUGUCACGUGAGUCAGUUUUUGAUGACUUGUGAAUGGAAUGUUUCUGGGUAGAGAAAGAUUCGAUCAAGAAAGAGUUUUAGUAGACCCUGAGACUAUGGAUGAGUCUCCUCAAAGUAUUCAGGUGAUUAAGUUAACCUGAAGUAACCAGGAAUGGCAAAAGAGAUCAACAGAUGGAUAUGCCACUAAUCGAGUGUGUAAGGUAAAUGGUUUGAUAUUUUUGGAAAAUUCACCACGAACAGAAAUGACGAGAAUUGGAAAAGAGACAAGAUAAGAUUUAGACACAUCAGACCAUUUUUUUUAUCACUAAAGGAAUCAAUAAAGUUGCAUACAAGUUUGUGAUGCCUUCAGAAUUGGCUAAGGCACAUAAUGUAUUUUGUGUUCGAUGCGUUGUCACUAAGUGGCAGGGUCGUUACAUGGGACUUUGGUGCAACUAUUGAGAAUUAAGCCGGAUAUGAUUGGUGAGGAACUAAUGUCGACGUUGGAUUGGAAAAAGAAGGUCCUAAGAAUUAAGACAGAGUAAGUAGUAAAAGCUUUGUGAAGGAAAUCAUUCAGUAGAAAAUUAUGUGGGAGAAAGAGAAUCGGAUGAGAUUUAUCCGAGGCUAUUGUAUGAGUAUAGAUGAUUUGGUUGGUUGCUGGAAUUUCGGGGACGAAAUUCUAUAAGGAGGGGAGAUUGUCACAGCCCGUCCCGGAAUUUUUAAUUCCGAGGACAUGAAAUUACGGAAAUGUCCCUAAUACGUGACUAAGGUAUAAUUUUCACGUUCGUUAUAUCUAAGCUCCAAAAAAAUUUGGUAAUUAGAGUGGAGACUUAGACUUAAAUUUUAUGAUGGAAUUUUAUGAAAUUGGGAUUGGUUUGGACAUGUGGGAUCCCCACACCUCAAAACCCUCCCCAUUUCCCGUAUACUGUCCUUCAUACUCUCUCUCUUCCUCAGACCUCACUCUCUCUCUCUCUCACCCUCUCGAACACACAGGCAACCACCCAAAACCACCUAAAACUUAUACCAACGUCGGAUUUAAAGCUACCAUGGCAUUCCUGAGGACUCCACGAUCACGUAGACACCAAUUUCAGGUAAGUUUUACUUCGGAAAACCUAGAUUCUAAACUCCCCGUGAAAGUGCACUGUUCAUGAUCUUCGAAUUGACUUUGUUUUAGGACAAUCCAAGCUCAUAGCAAGCUUGGUGAGGUCCCAAGGAAGCUCGGAGUGCUUCGUUGGAAGUUUUUGGACGUAAGAACACGGAGAUCGACAAGUUCAAAGUUUGGCCGGAGCUUUCGAGGCGUUUUCCGGCGAAUCCCCGGCGAGUUAGGAGUCAAGGUAGGUAUCAAUCUCUUCGUCUCGUCAAGUACUACAACUUUCCUUUUUGUUUCACUCAAUUUCGUUGAGUAUUGAAGAAGUUAUACGCAUUUGAAAAAUACCCAGUUUCCGGCGACCUCCGAGGCUUUCGAGGCAGUUUCCGGCCAAACCACGGCGAACUAGGUGUUGUGCAAGGUACCAUUAUCUUUUUCUCUUCAAGGGCUACAACUUUCGUUUUUGAAUCACUUGAUUUCGUUGAGAAAUGACAAAGUUAUGGCAAUUUGAAAAACUGCCCAGAAAACGGCCGCCGGAAAAACCAGUCCGGCGACCCAAGGAAGAAGAAGGUGCUACAGUAAAAAUAAAAAAUAAAAAUAAAAUUAUUUUAAAAAUAUAUGUCGACGUCCGUGACGUCGAGUAGAUCACUGUGGUAUAUUCAUAUACCUAAAUUGAACACCGUAUGAGAAAGUUAUUAAGGAUUGUUGGUUAGGUGUUCAAAUAACGUUUUAUAGUUUUCACAUUUAGGUGAAAAUGUGAAUUGAUGAUCCGACCGUUGGAUCAUCACCAAACCUUGAUACGUUGUAAUACGUAAUAUUUGAGGAUUAUUGGAACUUACAGAUUGGGAAUCCGAUUUGCGGAUCUUCCGGAAUUGGAAUUGUAAGUCCAUAAUAUAAAAUGUUAACCGUCACUUAGUUUUGGAAAUUGACGGAGAUCCGACCGUUGGAUGGUAAUGAAAUUUUAGGAUGUUAUCCUAGAGAUAUAUUGUGGACCUCUGGAAGUUAUGGAUUUAAAAUCUGAGGGGUGGAUCUUCCGGAUCAAUCUACGUAGUGACGUAUUUUAUAUAAGUUAUAUAUUCUAUCGAUAUGAAUUCUGAGGUUGGAUUUGAUUACUAUUCUAGGCGGCGAUCGUCGUGACGCCUUGUUGUGAGGUGCUAGGGAGUUGUUGGACGAACUCCAGGUGAGUGGGCAGUUUUGUUUUCCGUAUAUAUAUAUAUAC